Molecule: transfer RNA, 53 nt
Filed under: Parachtes limbarae
Lineage: Eukaryota; Metazoa; Arthropoda; Arachnida; Araneae; Dysderidae
Description: tRNA-Gln
Source: RNAcentral
UACAAAAAACCAUAAAAAUUUGAUUUUUAUAUAGACAGAUAUGUCUUUUGCAC